This 400-nucleotide ribosomal RNA is filed under the name uncultured bacterium. RNAcentral's name for it is "bacterial SSU rRNA". It matches the Rfam family "Bacterial small subunit ribosomal RNA", at positions 355 to 772 of the family's 1533-position model. The record is from RNAcentral.
UGGGGAAUAUUGCACAAUGGAGGAAACUCUGAUGCAGCGACGCCGCGUGAGUGAAGAAGUAAUUCGUUAUGUAAAGCUCUAUCAGCAGGGAAGAUAGUGACGGUACCUGACUAAGAAGCUCCGGCUAAAUACGUGCCAGCAGCCGCGGUAAUACGUAUGGAGCAAGCGUUAUCCGGAUUUACUGGGUGUAAAGGGAGUGUAGGUGGCCAUGCAAGUCAGAAGUGAAAAUCCGGGGCUCAACCCCGGAACUGCUUUUGAAACUGUAAGGCUGGAGUGCAGGAGGGGUGAGUGGAAUUCCUAGUGUAGCGGUGAAAUGCGUAGAUAUUAGGAGGAACACCAGUGGCGAAGGCGGCUCACUGGACUGUAACUGACACUGAGGCUCGAAAGCGUGGGGAGCAAA